RNAcentral lists this long non-coding RNA (428 nucleotides) under Coturnix japonica (Japanese quail). RNAcentral describes it as "lncRNA (ENSCJPG00005006461.1)". Lineage: Eukaryota; Metazoa; Chordata; Aves; Galliformes; Phasianidae. The record is from RNAcentral.
ACCCCAUUAUCCCCAUAUCCCCUCCAUUAUAACCCCAUUAACCCCAUAUCCCCUCCAUUAUAACCCCAUUAACCCCAUAUCCCCUCCAUUAUGACCCCAUUAACCCCAUAUCCCCUCCACUGUGACCCCAUUAACCCCAUAUCCCUUCCAUUACGACCCCAUUAACCCCAUUAACCCCACAUCCCUUCCAUUCUGACCCCAUUAACCCCAUAUCCCCCCACUUUGAACCCCAUUAACCCCAUAUCCCUUCCAUUGUGACCCCAUUAACCCCCUUAACCCCAUUAACCCCAUAUCCCUUCCAUUAUGACCCCAUUAACCCCAUUAACCCCAUAUCCCUUCCAUUAUGACCCCAUUAACCCCAUAUCCUACCACUUUGAACCCCAUUAACCCCAUAUCCCUUCCAUUACGACCCCAUUAACCCUAUUAAC